Chiloscyllium plagiosum (whitespotted bambooshark) is the source of this 2369-nucleotide non-coding RNA. The record is from RefSeq and is a predicted model, not a curated record. NCBI's taxonomy places the organism in Eukaryota, Metazoa, Chordata, Chondrichthyes, Orectolobiformes, Hemiscylliidae.
UUGGUGAUAAACAUGCCUGGGUCACAAGGUUCAAAUCCCACUUGAGUGCCUGAGAAUCAAUGCUGAGUUUGCAGUACAAUACUGAGGGAGUGCUGCACUGUCAGGGGCUGAGAUAUUAAAUUGUAAUGCAUCUACCCUCAGUGGUGUGUGUUGGAGUUUUCUGUGAGCAAAUUUACUUUUUUUUAUUAAUCUAAGAGAUGUAGUAUCGCUGGUUGCACCAGCAUUUAUUGCCUGUCCCUAUUUGCCCCAGAGAAGAUGGUGAUGAACUGCCUCCUUAAAUGACUGCAGUCCAUUUGUACCAUAUGGAGAGUUCCUGGAUCACAUUCAACGAUACUGAAGGAAUGGCCAUGUACUUCCAAGUCAGAAUGCAAGAUCAUCAUGUGCAAUGAAAAUUGGAGUUUCACGACAUGACUCUGUGACUCAAUGACAAGGACAGUUUUGGCAAUUUUGACAACAAAGCAAAUGUAUCAGGUUCACUCCACAAACACCAAAACUACAGAACUGACAGAAAUUAAAGCAUGGGACUCAAUUCUCUUCCUUAUCAUGGCACUGUUAAUCCAAAUAUUAAUCUGGAAUAGAAGCAGGAAGAAAGUUAUAAGGGGGGGAGAGGUUUAUACUGAUCAAAGAUUUUUUACCACCAUUCAGGGUCUGUUUUUAAUACCUGAGAGAAAACAGGGGGGAAUGAGUGUAGCUGCACUGGAUUAUUUAUUAUUAAAUAAGCUGUUAAUGAAGUUUAGAAACCAACUAUCAAUCUGAUUUUGGGGAAAAAAAUUAACUGAGAAUUUGAUAUCCUUUAGGGAAAGAACAGAGACAUUGAAUCAAAUGGGCUUUUCCACAACAAACAGCAAUGGGUUCUCAGCUACUAUUAGACUUUUAGUUGGAUUUGAACGCAGUUCCCCAGAAUGUUACUCAGUCUCUGGGUUAAUAGUCCUGCUAUAACAUCACCUCCUCUUUCCUCAAAAGCUUUGGAGAAAAAGUCAAUCAUGAUCUUGAGGUCAGUUUCUGAAGGAGCAGCACACAUCGUCACAUUGGAGAUCAGGUUGGAGUGAUUGUGGUUAGGUUUGAAGGCAGUGCAAUGCAGCUAAUAUUUUCCUGCCUAGUUCUGUAAAUUCUCAUCAGGCCUCUGAGUAAUUUGUUGGAAAUGAGCCCCAGUAUAAUAGCCAGGAAGAAGGAUAAUUGUCUUGGUACGAUACCUCAGCAUCUUAGUUUCUUCACAAGAGAUAGGGACAAUGGUGGUGAGGAUCAUAACUUGCACGUGGGAGGAUGGUGGCAAAUUUCUGUGGUCAGCCAAACUAGAGGAUGAUAACCCAAAAUCAACGGAAGUUGACAGGUUUAAGAGGUAUUAGCCCUAAACUGACGCUCUCUUUAUGCAAGUUUUCGAUCUGAAGUAGACUGUAGACAGACAAUUGCAAACUGUAAACCGGUGAAGAUGAGGUUGAGAUAUGUUUGCUGGAACUAAUUGCCAAACAAGUGAACUACAUCUCCCAGAAGGCUGAGAGGGAGCUGCUGUAGAGCUCCACCGGCGGCGAUACAACGGUGCAACAAAGUAGCAACAAGAAGUUUCAACUGAGACAGGGCUGAGAAGCCGACUACACGGAGAAACACAACGCUUCGGCAGGAAAUCUUAUCUUACUGUGUCAGCACCGACUGCAGCUGUAAUCUAACCAACGCAGAGGAUGGAUUUUAAAAUCAUAAACAGUCAGCCUGAUGAAUACUGAGAGAUAUGUGCUGAGUCAUCACAACUCCCCUGUUCAAGAAGCACGAUGAUGCAUCCUAAAACAGCAUAUUGACAAACACAGGACAGGAAAUAGACUAUACUCUGACAUACCCAGACAUCGAAGGAAGGGAGACAUUUACUGAAAACAAAGAAUUUAUUUAAACUGCAGUAUCGUUUUAAGUCCAAGUGCUUCAUAAGUUUAUUGUAUCCAAGAAGGUAAAAAUACAAAAUUCCUGAGCCGCCAUUUUUUUGGGAUUUGAGUAAACAAAAACUUGCAUUUAUCCAGCACCUUUUAACGUCACCACAUAUUCUAACGUGCCUCUACAGGAACAUGAUCAAACACUAAUUGAAACUGAGGAACGUAAGCAGCUUUUUGGAUUGAUGCCCAAAAUCUUUGUCAAAGAUUAGCUUUUAAGUAGCAUCUUGAAUGAAGAAAGACUGGUGGAGAGGUUUACAAGAGAGAAUUCCUGAGCUUAGGGCCUAGGCAACUGAAGGAAUAAUGCCACUACUGGUAGAGCAAUGAAGUAAGAAAUAACUACUAUAGAAUUGGUUAGCAUUGAUCUUCAAAAAGGUAUCUUUGCAUUUUAAAUGUAAUUAAAAAUUAAAUGUUAUUCAAAUAUCAUUUAAAAUAUACAGUUAAAAAUCACACAAC